This 253-nucleotide ribosomal RNA is filed under the name uncultured bacterium. RNAcentral's name for it is "partial 16S ribosomal RNA". It matches the Rfam family "Bacterial small subunit ribosomal RNA", at positions 524 to 776 of the family's 1533-position model. The record is from RNAcentral.
UACGUAGGAGACGAGCGUUGUCCGGAGUUACUGGGCGUAAAGGGUGCGCAGGUGGCGGCGCGCGUGGGGGGUGAAAUCGCCCGGCUUAACUGGGCGGGGGCCUUCCAGACGGCGUGGCUUGAGCAGCGGAGGGGGACGUGGAAUUCCGGGUGGAGCGGUGAAAUGCGUAGAGAUCCGGAGGAACACCGACGGCGCAGGCAGCGUCCCGGCCGCUUGCUGACACUGAGGCACGAAAGCUGGGGGAGCAAACAGG